ACUGCAGGCCCGUAUUUCUCCAGCAGCUUCAGAGCUGUUUGAGGCGUGGUUGAUCGUUUGGUGCCUGGCGUUAGUGACAGCCAAGUUCUCCCUCACGGGUCUGGGAGUGUUUAGGUGUCUCAGGAGGUAUUAUUUGAAUGUAUUACGCAGUUGAGGAAGGUUGCAUUGGAAAGCUGGUUAUUAUAGUUCUAGGAAGCAAAUAAAGACCCAGGAAAUUAGCUACCACUCUGGACUACUUGUGGUGUCACAAAACAGGAUGGAGCCCUUUGAGAUGAUAGAAAAAUGUCCUCUCUGACUACAGAAAAGCACUCUCAAAUUUCCAUACCACUACUUGAAAUGUGGUGAUGCUUUUAAAGCAGACAUUUUCCAUGGCCUUAACUGCUCACAGGUCUAUCCUAAACCCGAAGUAGCCACUGUGCAUACCUAGCAAGUACUGUUCAUAAACAUUUUUAUAAUGUUUGACCUUAAGAGUGACCUGAAGAUUAAUGGAUAUGUUGUAUCAGUUUUAAUGGGUCUCUUCUCCCUUGGAUGCACACAUGUGACUCCCAUUAGCCUUAAUGGGGGUUAUAUGUGUGCCUAGAGGUUAGACAAGAUCUCUAAAGGUGCUGUUAUGCUCUGUUGUAUUAACGAUUUCAUAAUUGCUGAGGUGCUGCACCUUUGCAUUGAAAGCAAACUAAUUAAAUUGGUCUAGGAUAAAUUGGCAUGCUAACAUACCUGGCACGUAUAUGUGUUUUCCUGUGAGUCCCUCAGUACACAGAGGCAGAGGCCAAAUCAAGUGUGGAAUUUAAAUUUUAACUGUCAGUUAUCUUCCUUUUUAGUUUGUCCUUUUUUAAUUCCAGAACAAUUUCAUGAAUUUGAUUCCUGAGAAAGAUGAUUGUCCAUGCCAAUACAGAAGAAGAAGCUGAAAGUGGUGUUACUGAAACACUUCAAGUGGAAAACAGACUGAUGAUACCAUCUCAAUAGCAAUUCGUUUGAACUUGCCCCAAGUGGAAAAGAGAUUGGUGAUAUCAUCUCAAUAGCAAUUUGUUUGAACUUGCCCCCAGAGCUCUUGAGGAUUUUAGGAUCUUGUCAAUCAUUAGGUAGUAUUCUGUAAAGUUGUGUAUGCCAAGUAUAUUAAAAAUCACUGAUUAUACCCAUGAAAAAUUCUGCUGCAUUGCAUAUGCCCAAAUAAUUGUAAGUCUGCUAAUAAAUCACUCUAGAUUUAUGAUUCCUAUAUGAAAUGACUAAAGAAAAAAAAUAUUACAUUGGAAGCCUAACAUUGCUUUUGGUAACCUGUACUUUUAUUAACUGUGCUUUCACACUUCCAAGAAUGGAAGAAAAUGGGUGGUUAAAUUUAUUAGUGGUCUGCCAAGAGAUUGAUUUGAUGUUCUUUCUCUAACAUGCAUUGAACCCAGGUACAAAAAAUUAAUGUGUUAAUGCAAAAAUUGCAGAUGUCAGUGUGUGUAUGGGAAUGUGCUAAAAAGGGCCAGAGCUUGUCUUGACUUACUGUUUUGGUUAUUGUUCUGGGUUGGUCUUUUGUUUGUUUGUGGGGUUUCUUUCAAUAAUCAAAUUUAAAUUUCAACUGUCCAUGUUAUUUUUAUUCAGCUUUGCAGUGGGACAAGAAACAGAGUCCAACUGCAUUCUUUUAUGAGUGAAUACUUUGUCCCAUUCACUUCACUUUUUGGCUAAUAUCACAGAAAAAUGCUGUAGGAAUUCAGCUGCUUUUUAGCUCAAUUUUCAUAAGCCACAGUUACUCGUAGCUAGGAUAAAAGGACUAAUCUGGUUCUGAAUGAGAGUAUGUGGUGGAUAAAGAGGACUAUUUUGGGGGGGUUGUAGGGCACAUAAUUAUUUCAUCACCCUGGUACAAAAUUCUCAAAUUAUGGCUUAUUUCAGAUUACUGGAGAUUAUUGCCAAAUAUUUCUUUCUUUGGCAUGUAGUGAAAGCUAAAUUUCAUUUGACUGUUCAUGUACUUAUAUAUGCAGAAUCAUCUAUGUUAUGCAGAUGCCUAAAAGCACAAGGAGAACUGGAUUUGAGAGGAAACCUGUGUUGUAUUCCUAUAUCACCAUCAAUUUAGAUCACAUUGGUAUCACAUUAGAAUAAUGUUUUACAGCCUCUGCCAAUUUAGAAAUCAAAUUGAUGCUAGAUUUGUAUAGAACAACACAUUUGACUGACAGAAAAGGCUGUUGUAGAUGGAUGUGAUGUUCUAUCCUUGUAUAACAAGAGUUUUGACUGACAGUUUAACAAUAGUACAAUUUCUAUCCCAUAUAUUCUAAAUUAUUAUAGUGCAAAACAUUUUUGCACUUGCUGUAUAUAGGUAACACGUGCACUUUUUGUGUAAUAACAUUAAAAAAGAGAGGAUUUCUUUUAUAUCUUAAAGAUAACGACAAUUAAUGAAGGCUCUGUAUGACACUUAUAAGCAGUGUCAAGGACUGCUAUUGUGGUGCAUGGUAAUGUAAAAACUAUUGGAAUGCUUAGCUCCCAGUGAAGGAUCAGCAUAACUCUUGACACAUCUUGUAUGGUGGAUGAAAUAAAUCUUGGAGAGCAAUAGAAAUAUUUCUUAAACUGAAGAGUACCCUUUUUGUUUUAUAAUCCCUCUUUUCAGCUCUGCAGUUCUUCGUAUCACUCCAAAAUACAGUUUUAAUCUGAAAAGUAACUGUUUAAAAUGGUACCUAUUAAUGCAACAGCUUUGCUUUCUAUGCUUUGCAGUCAGUAUUUUUCUGUUCUGAGACCUAAGAUUCUUCUUCAGAACCAUAGCUAGAUAAGGAAGGUACACAGUUCUUAUUUGGGUAUCUCUCAUUUUCUUUAGGGAAGAUGAUCAUUUGGUAAGUAUCCUUCUCAUUUUAUGAUUUCUACUUCAAAUUCUUGGCAUCCUUUGUCCCUUUAGGUCUUUGCAGCACUAUUUACACUAACUACACUAAUUCUCAAAGAACAGGACCCCCUACUUUGUGUAGGUUUUCACAAGAGCUGGGACACUAUAGUAUGUCUACAUAAUAUUUGAUGUUAGUUCAAAAAUAAACAUUAAAAUCUAAACUUCUCUGUAAGCUUCAGUUUCAUGUUGCAUGCGACUGAGACAGAAGGUAUGUUCUUUCAUGAUCUUCCCAAUGAAAAAUAAUAUAAAAAUAUUGAAUAAAAAAGUUGGACCACAUUUAGCAAAACAGGUCUCUCUUUGAUUAUCUAGACUGGAAAAACAUGCCAAAUACAAUGAUUACUUUAACAUUUUUUUUUUAAUUGGCUUAUUGUGAAGGAUAUGUUUCUUAAAUGGCUUUGUAUUUCCUAAGGGAAUUAAAUAGAUUAUUCUUUUCACUUCAUUAUGUAUGAUCAGAGAGAUCUUGGUAUCUCAGGUUUACUCAGUAAGAUUUUAUUUUUCUUUUGGUGGAUAAAUUCAGUAUAUGUUUUAUCCAACAGCAGGAAUAUUUAUUGGCUUGCAACAGUGGUGGUGAUAUUUCCUGCAAAGCA
Pezoporus occidentalis (night parrot) is the source of this 3435-nucleotide long non-coding RNA. RefSeq lists it as uncharacterized. The transcript has 4 exons. NCBI's taxonomy places the organism in Eukaryota, Metazoa, Chordata, Aves, Psittaciformes, Psittacidae. The record is from RefSeq and is a predicted model, not a curated record.